CGCUGCGGGGUCCUCCUCGGAGCGAGGCUGGGGAGCUGUGCUAAUCCUGCCCGGGCGGCCCCUUCGCCCGGCGCUCGGAGCCUCAGAUCUCCACAGAGGAGGCGGCGAGCGAGCGCGCCCCGACCGUCUGCACGCUUUCUCUUUCUCCCCAGGGAGAGCGCGCGGACGACGCGCCCCGGACGCGCGGCAGCACCGGGAAGCCCAGGCCAAGCGAUUUCGGGAGAUUGCCACAAUUUGGACUCACAAGCAAGAUUCACUCCAAGCUUUCAGAGGGCAUGAGGUACCUUUCAGAUGGUUGCUGGCUGCUCAGAAAACUGCUGUAGGGAAACUGCAAGUAGUACCAGGAGGUCAUGUGUCAUUAGUGUGGAUGCUGCUGUCUUACGUCUGUGGUCAUGGCACCAGAAUACAGGGGAGCAUGGGAUUAUGGCAACCACAGAGCCCCAGUGAUGCAAGUUCUAUUCAGUCUUUUCUGAAGGAAGCCUGCUGUUAGAGCACAGGAACUGUUGUGGAUUACAAUGUUUGAAAGAUACGGGUUCUCAGUGGUCUGAAAACACGGCAUCAUUUAACCUUUUAAAUGACAAGGCUUA
This 587-nucleotide long non-coding RNA is filed under the name Rattus norvegicus (Norway rat). RNAcentral's name for it is "long non-coding RNA NONRATT024467". The record is from RNAcentral. Lineage: Eukaryota; Metazoa; Chordata; Mammalia; Rodentia; Muridae.